Non-coding RNA from Danio rerio (zebrafish), 186 nucleotides. Lineage: Eukaryota; Metazoa; Chordata; Actinopteri; Cypriniformes; Danionidae. The record is from RefSeq and is a predicted model, not a curated record.
UUAUUAAAGAAGUUAAUACAACGUGAUAUCGAAGUCACCGAGGGACAUAACGUUAUAGAAGGACAAGAUUGAACAACAUAAUGCAGGCUAACAGCAUUAGACCAAUGAAGGCAAGUCAUAUGAAAGCAUGGCUCAGUUACAAGAUGUUUUCAUGGAAAGAUGAGAGAUCAACUGAAGAAUGCUAUG